Molecule: ribosomal RNA, 329 nt
Filed under: Hysterangium sp. H2022
Lineage: Eukaryota; Fungi; Basidiomycota; Agaricomycetes; Hysterangiales; Hysterangiaceae
Description: eukaryotic LSU rRNA
Rfam family: Eukaryotic large subunit ribosomal RNA
Source: RNAcentral
GCUCUCGAAGAGUCGAGUUGUUUGGGAAUGCAGCUCAAAGUGGGUGGUAAAUUCCAUCUAAAGCUAAAUAUUGGCGAAAGACCGAUAGCGAACAAGUACCGUGAGGGAAAGAUGAAAAGGACUUUGGAAAGAGAGUUAAACAGUACGUGAAAUUGUUGAAAGGAAACGCUUGGAGUCAGUCGCGUCGAACGGGUUCUCAGUGGGGUACGCCCGAUGUACUCCCCGCGACGGGCCAGUAUCGAUUUCGACCGUCGGAGAAAGGUCGAGGGAAGCGUGGCACCUUGGGGUGUGUUAUACCCCUCGCUCUUAUACGACGUUGGGAUGGAGGA